Molecule: long non-coding RNA, 1243 nt
Filed under: Equus asinus (donkey)
Lineage: Eukaryota; Metazoa; Chordata; Mammalia; Perissodactyla; Equidae
Description: lncRNA (ENSEASG00005028922.1)
Source: RNAcentral
GAAUUGUGAUUCACAGGAGGAAGCCAGGAAACUCAUUAAGAUGUUGAAGUGGUCCAAACAGGAGGAUGAGUGCCUUGAACUAGAAGCUUCAGAAUACGGAUGAAAAUAUUAGGUGAGCCCCUGGAAGCUGAACUUGGCACGCGUGUGUUAUCAGAGAAUCCUCCACAUGUGGAUUGCGUGGAGUUGAAGAGCUUUGAAGAUUUUAAGUCUCUGAGCAAUCCAAAUCCUUUCGAAGUUGAAGAAUAUCUUUUUCUCGACAAACAGAAGCAUCCUUUUUAUGUUAAUACAGUCAUGCUAAGAAACAAUGACAGAAUAGUUGGUAUGGGAGUAAUGCCCUGAAAGAGAUGAGUCACUGUCUGAGGCAGAAACCGGAAAGCGUAAAGCUCCCUGUGGGGAAUACAACAAAGACGUGGGAACCAUCAUAGGACGAUCGACGUUGCCUCUGCCAUCACCUGGGUUUGUGAAUGGCUUCAUCAGCACUUCAUGCUAACACUAUUAAAUAUGAAGUGUCAAGCUCGGCACUCACAGAAGGUGACCUGGACUAGAGCCAGGCCCCCAGCUGAGCCUGUGAUGAGCAUCCAGGAGCUGCUCAAAUGAGGGAUCAAUGACUUGCAAGUUUACCAGGCAGAAUAAUGAAUAGAAGUGGGACAACUGCAAGCAAAAUUGGCAUGAGAAAUGAGGGUACUGAGAGAGUGGCCAAGAGUAGGGCACAGCUGCAGAAAGUUGAGGAACUAGCCCGCUAGAAUCUGACCUGGGAGGUACAAACACAGUGCGGAAAACUUGGUAGUCCUAUGAGGAUUUCGGGGGCAGAGAAAAUACUCUGUAUGAUACCAUAAAGAUGAAUACAUGUCUUUAAACGUUUGUCCAAACCCAUAGAAUGUACAACACCUCUCUGGCGGGGCAUGUUGAUAAUGGGGGAGAUUAUGUUUGUGACGGGCCAGGAAAUCUCUGCACUUUUCCCUCAAUUUUGCUGUGAACCUAAAAUUGCUCUAAAAAUAAAUGAAGUCAAUAAAAAAAUGUUUUUGUAAGGAAUAAAGACACUAAGAUGUUUAUAUGAGCGAUCAUUUUGGUUAGUUUCAAUACAAUGCUAUCUAAAAGAUAUGGCUAGUUGUAUACUUGCAUCUUCUGCUAAAAUGAUAUUUGAACACCUCCAAGGCUAUAAGCUUGCAUGACCAGGAUGAGAAUAGAGCCUAUUGAGAAGCACAAGGAAGAUGAGUUGGAAGGUGAACUGGAAGAUGAGUUG